This is a long non-coding RNA of Drosophila nasuta, 284 nucleotides long. RefSeq lists it as uncharacterized. The record is from RefSeq and is a predicted model, not a curated record. The transcript is spliced from 3 exons. NCBI's taxonomy places the organism in Eukaryota, Metazoa, Arthropoda, Insecta, Diptera, Drosophilidae.
UGGGCUGAGACGCGUCUUGUUGAGACAUGCACUUAUGGCGGCUGAGGGUGCCCGGGCCUUGUUUUGAAUUAUGCACCAGCACAUGGUUACAGCUCUGGGCACUGUGGACCGGAUUGCCGAUUUGGUGGCAUUAAAUCGAAUAUUGCAUUUAUCGAGCUGAAACUUGGCGUACUUCAAUAAUAGACCACUCUAAAUAUUUAAGCAAAUUUCCAACCAGCACGGAAGAGUGGCGCCUGCUGUCGAUCCACACGUCCAGCAACGUGGCAUGACAGUACUCAAGCACA